This 563-nucleotide ribosomal RNA is filed under the name uncultured bacterium. Its description in RNAcentral is "bacterial SSU rRNA". It matches the Rfam family "Bacterial small subunit ribosomal RNA", at positions 9 to 570 of the family's 1533-position model. The record is from RNAcentral.
GAGUUUGAUUCUGGCUCAGAUUGAACGCUGGCGGCAUGCCUAACACAUGCAAGUCGAACGCGAAAGGGUUUCGGCCUGAGUAGAGUGGCGGACGGGUGAGGAAUGCAUCGGAAUCUGCCCCAUGGUGGGGGAUAACCCAGGGAAACUUGGGCUAAUACCGCAUGAUGUCGAGAGACCAAAGCGGGGGAUCGAAAGACCUCGCGCGAUGGGAGGAGCCGAUGUCCGAUUAGCUAGUUGGUGGGGUAAAGGCCUACCAAGGCGACGAUCGGUAGCUGGUCUGAGAGGAUGAUCAGCCACACUGGGACUGAGACACGGCCCAGACUCCUACGGGAGGCAGCAGUGGGGAAUAUUGGACAAUGGGCGAAAGCCUGAUCCAGCAAUGCCGCGUGUGUGAAGAAGGCCUGCGGGUUGUAAAGCACUUUUGUCCGGAACGAAAAGCUCGUGGUUAAUACCCAUGGGUGCUGACGGUACCGGAAGAAUAAGCACCGGCUAACUUCGUGCCAGCAGCCGCGGUAANACGAAGGGUGCAAGCGUUAAUCGGAAUUACUGGGCGUAAAGCGUGC